GAUCUCCGGGGCCACCCGGUGGCGAAAAACGCGCAAGUGCACCCCCGGUUCUCUGCCUCGUGGGGACGGAUCUGGGACCCGAAGGCCAGCCGUGGUUCCAGACGAGCGGUGUGGCCGUGGCGGCGGCGUCCCCGGGCAGACGGGGGUUCAGGUUUCCCAGUAUUCAGUGAAACCUGCCAACCAGGAAAAGGACUGUUUAUCCUUUGAGGAUGUGGCUGUGUACUUCUCCUGGGAGGAAUGAACACUGCUUGAUGACUCAAAAGAUCCUGCACCAGACUGUGAUGUCAGAGAUCUGAACAUCAUGUCUUUGAUGGGACUUAUAUCUUCUGGGAUCCAUGACAUGACUCAGCUGGAGUUUUGGGGAGAGCCCUCUGUGCUUGCAUUGAGAU
RNAcentral lists this long non-coding RNA (389 nucleotides) under Mus musculus (house mouse). RNAcentral's name for it is "predicted gene, 18190". Lineage: Eukaryota; Metazoa; Chordata; Mammalia; Rodentia; Muridae. The record is from RNAcentral.